AGCCAUGCAUGUGUCAGUACAAACUAAAAUAAAGUGAAACCGCGAAUGGCUCAUUAAAUCAGCUAUGAUUCCUUGGAUCUGUACACCCAGUUUCCUUGGAUAACUGUGGUAAUUCUAGAGCUAAUACAUGCACAUAUAGUCCCUAACCUUACGGGAAGGGCGCUUUUAUUAGUAUCAAAACUGGUCGGGCUUCGGUCUGUAAAAUCCAAUUGUGAUGACUCUGGAUAACUUUUAGCUGAGCGCACGGUCUUUGCACUGGCGCCGCUUCUUUCAAGUGUCUGCCUUAUCAGCUUUCGAUUGUAGGUCAUGUGCCUACAAUGGCUAUAACGGGUAACGGGGAAUCAGGGUUCGAUUCCGGAGAGGGAGCCUGAGAAACGGCUACCACAUCUAAGGAAGGCAGCAGGCACGCAAAUUACCCACUCCCGGCACGGGGAGGUAGUGACGAAAAAUAACGAUGCGAGACUCAUCCGAGGCCUCGCAAUCGGAAUGAGUACACUUUAAAUCCUUUAACGAGGAUCAAUUGGAGGGCAAGUCUGGUGCCAGCAGCCGCGGUAAUUCCAGCUCCAAUAGCGUAUAUUAAAGCUGUUGCGGUUAAAAAGCUCGUAGUUGGAUUUCAGUAUUGGACUGAUGGUUCACCGUACGGUGUUUAACCUAUCACGCUCCGAAACCAGCUAACGCAACAAGUUUGUGUAUGCCCCACUAGCUCACACGGGGUGCUCUUAACCGAGUGUCCCGAGUGGCUGGUAUGUUUACUUUGAAAAAAUUAGAGUGCUCAGAGCAGGCUCAUAACUGUAUGGCCUGAAUGUCUAUGCAUGGAAUAAUGUAAAAGGACCUCGGUUCUAUUUUGCCAGUUUUCUUCGGAACCCGAGGUAAUGACUAAUAGAGACAGACGGGGGCAUUAGUACUGCGACCCUGGAGGGGAAAUUCUUGGACCGUCCCAAGACUAACUACUGCGAAAGCAUUUGCCAAGGAUGUUUU
RNAcentral lists this ribosomal RNA (978 nucleotides) under Typhlonida galalala. RNAcentral describes it as "SSU rRNA". It matches the Rfam family "Eukaryotic small subunit ribosomal RNA", at positions 47 to 970 of the family's 1831-position model. Lineage: Eukaryota; Metazoa; Arthropoda; Malacostraca; Decapoda; Munididae. The record is from RNAcentral.